AGAUGGUGAACUAUGCCUGUAUAGGACGAAGUCAGAGGAAACUCUGAUGGAGGUCCGUAGCGGUUUUGACGUGCAAAUCGAUCGUCAAAUAUGGGUAUAGGGGCGAAAGACUAAUCGAACCAUCUAGUAGCUGGUUCCCUCCGAAGUUUCCCCCAGGAUAGCUGGUGCUUGUAUUUGAAUAGUCUUAUUCGGUAAAGAUAAUGAUUAGAGGACUUGGGGACGAAAUGUCCUCAACCUAUUCUCAAACUUUAAAUGGGUAAGAUGUCCGGCUUGCUUGCUUUGAAGCCUGGACAUUGGAUAUAAGUGCCAAGUGGGCCAUUUUUGGUAAGCAGAACUGGCGCUGUGGGAUGAACCAAACGUUGGGUUAAAGUGCCUAAGUUCUCGCUCAUUAGACCCCAUGAAAGGUGUUAAUUGAUACAGACAGCAGGAAUGUGACCAUGGAAGUCGGGAUCGUCUAAGGAGUGUGUAACAACUCACCUGCCGAAUCAAUUAGCCCUGAAAAUGGAUGGCGCUAGAGCGAGACACUUAUACCCAACCGUUGUUGUUGAAGUGCUGCGGCCUUGUGCUGCGCGCCAGACAACAACGAGUAGGAGGGUCGCGUUGGUUGCGUGGAAAGUCUGUGCGUGAGCACGACUGGAGCUUCCAACGGUGCAGAUCGCGAUGGUAGUAG
RNAcentral lists this ribosomal RNA (670 nucleotides) under Candidatus Kaiserbacteria bacterium. RNAcentral's name for it is "partial 23S ribosomal RNA". It matches the Rfam family "Eukaryotic large subunit ribosomal RNA", at positions 821 to 1463 of the family's 3401-position model. Lineage: Bacteria; Candidatus Kaiseribacteriota. The record is from RNAcentral.